RNAcentral lists this long non-coding RNA (1340 nucleotides) under Numida meleagris (helmeted guineafowl). Its description in RNAcentral is "lncRNA (ENSNMEG00000007730.1)". The record is from RNAcentral. Lineage: Eukaryota; Metazoa; Chordata; Aves; Galliformes; Numididae.
UGAAAUUCAUGGCACGGGAUGGCUUGGGCCAUCAUCACUGCUGAAGUAACAAGGUCUUUCUUCCUGCACAUCUUUUCUCUUGCUCUCAAUUACACUGUUCACCCUGCACCAAUCUGCACACAUGUCAUGGUUUUGUGAUUUUUGGUUAUUGGUAUUCCACAUCAUAACAUCAUGUAGUGGACAUACCUAGUUCUCAGAAGAGAAGGACUACUACAGUCCCCACGGUACUUUGCUCCUUUGUUACCAUUUUCCAGCCGGAGGGAAAAGAUAGAAGCUCGCAGUAUAAAAACUUGCAGAUCACGAGACCUCGUCCCUUUUUCCGCCGUCUCUCGUCUUGGCAGCACCUCGCUCUCCAGCCGUCUUAUCGUCGGUAGUAGAGUAAGGCCUACCUUGAUUUUGGGACAUUCUCUCUCUCUGUGUUGGAUUUAUCAGCUUAAAUUGUAAUUAUAUUGUAUUAUAGUGUGUUGUUUUGCAUUCCGAUAUCUUAUUUAGUAAAUUAGUUUGUUUCUCCUCAGAUUGUUGCCGCUGUUCUUUGCUCUCAGGGCCAUCUCCCUACCCUUUUCCCCCUUUCCCCUUUUCCCGGGACGUGGGCCCUUGGGUCCCCUGUCCCCUUCGUCACGGAAUCGGGCCUAACGCCCGUAAACCGUUGACAACACAUAAGACCCCUAUCAUCCUUACUUGCCAGAAAAGUGAAUCAGUAGGAAAAAAAGGCCUUUUUCUUGAUUAGAGACAGGAUAGGGCUGCAUGGAGACAGAUAAGAAGAACACCUCUUCUGGAGACCAUAUCUCCAUAGCAAUUUUGUUUACAUCAAUCUCUGGUUUCAUGGGUAGAGUUGAUCUCUGCACUGAGAAUAGGGUCUACACCCAGGGGUACCGAACUACAUGCUUUAAUGUUCUUCUUACUAUUCUGCAUGUAUGGAAUCCAAUGCACAGCAUGAACAAAUGUGAAUCUCAUAUUUGGAGAAGCAUAAAUUGUGUCAGUCCAUCUUUAUAACAACUUCCAAGAGCAAGGAUCAAAAAUCUCCCAUCUUCCAAGAGAGCACUGUGGAUGGUGGAAGUAGUGAAUGUUUGUUCUGCUCAGUUUUAUUCCUGCACUUGUGCUGUUAUUGCCAUCAAGAUCUUUAACUGUUUCUCAGUACCUCAGUUGGGAACCUGUUGCUCCUUACAUUUAAUAUAAGAGCAAAACUCAUUUUGCAGCAUUUGUCAAACUAUGAAGGAUUAAAUGGAGCCCUUAACCAUAUCUAAUGCUAUGUGCGUCUCAUCUAAAUUUUGGAGCUCCUGGAAUCCAGGCAACCACAUUUUCUUCUGUAACGUGGGGAAACUGAAUGCUGUAAUGUCUAU